Molecule: ribosomal RNA, 468 nt
Filed under: uncultured bacterium
Lineage: Bacteria
Description: partial 16S ribosomal RNA
Rfam family: Bacterial small subunit ribosomal RNA
Source: RNAcentral
GACGAACGCUGGCGGCGUGCUUAACACAUGCAAGUCGAACGGAAAGGCCCUGCUUUUGUGGGGUGCUCGAGUGGCGAACGGGUGAGUAACACGUGAGUAACCUGCCCUUGACUUUGGGAUAACUUCAGGAAACUGGGGCUAAUACCGGAUAGGAGCUCCUGCUGCAUGGUGGGGGUUGGAAAGUUUCGGCGGUUGGGGAUGGACUCGCGGCUUAUCAGCUUGUUGGUGGGGUAGUGGCUUACCAAGGCUUUGACGGGUAGCCGGCCUGAGAGGGUGACCGGCAACAUUGGGACUGAGAUACGGCCCAGACUCCUACGGGAGGCAGCAGUGGGGAAUAUUGCACAAUGGGCGGAAGCCUGAUGCAGCAACGCCGCGUGCGGGAUAACGGCCUUCGGGUUGUAAACCGCUUUCGCCUGUGACGAAGCGUGAGUGACGGUAAUGGGUAAAGAAGCACCGGCUAACUACGUG